AACACCUUCCACGCAUCAAGAACAUUCUCCAUACUUUGUGCUCACUAUAUGUCUCUCACCACAACUCUGCAAGUUACAGAUUAUCAUUCCCAACUUACAGCUGAGGAAAUGAAGUUACCAAGUGUCUCUAUGAGUAAGGAGAAGAAAAAUUCUAACCCCGGUCAAUGGAACGCAACAACUCAGUGCUCCUGCCUCUCCUGGUUCACCAUUCUCUCAGGAGGCAUCUCAUCCAGCAAGAUAUCCAUCUUGGACAUUCCAGCCCUAGAAGACACCAUGUGGAGCAGAAGCACCACCCAGCUGAGCCCAGUCAACCCGCAGACUCCUGCCCGCUCAGUCGCGUCAGUCAUGUCUGACUCUUCGCAACCCUAUGGAGUGUAGCCCUACAUGCUCUGCUGUUCAUGGGAUUCUCCAGCUGUUUUGCAGAUACUGAAACCCCCACCAGGUGGGAGAAGUCAACUGUGUGCUGCCCACAAGCAUGGAGACCUCAGACUGGACGGAACCAGAACGUUGAAGAUGUUGACUCCCGAUUACCCCGCCGCCAACCAAUCAGAAGAAUGUCCAUGAGCUGAUAACACCUGCUCCCGGAACACUACAACUCUCCUCACUACACCUCAUGGUUGGGACAGAUGGAGGGCAUUGGCCUGCUGUGGCCCCCUGUGCCUGACACACCCAUAGGAGCUACUCUUUUCUAUGUCACCCAAAUCGCUGUCUCCAUGUUCCUAUUUGGCAUCAGUGAACAGAGGCUGAGUUUUAGCCACACCCCCAGGUGACGGAGCACAGAGCUCAGAUGUAAGCCGUGGUAACCUGGCUCUAGGGGUCAUGUGUUCAACCCCUAAAUCUGCUGUGACCUUGAUGUCUGAGGCUCCACACACAGGGAGGAUCCCUUCUAUCUCUAAGAAGUGCUGGAAAAAGAAGGUGGGGAGGAGGGGCAUGAGAACUGUGCAGGGAAGGGUGCGCCCAGGUGAGCUGUGUGGUUGUUGAAACACAAACUGCAGGGCCUGCUGGAGCCAAGGAGGUGAGGCUGCCUUAGAGGAACCCACCAGGAGCAGGCCUGUCCUCCCAGCAGCUGCCAGACCUUGGCCGGUACCAUGCUUCUGUACCCCUACCCCGCCACACACACCUUCUCCCUUUCCUCCAGGCUUCGUAUCCAUCUCUUUGCCUCAAGAUUCCUGCAUGUGAGGGUCCUGAGUCCCUUCUUCCAGCUGUUCCUCUCUCUGCCCAGUCUGUGCCCCACCCUCAGGGGCUUCUGAGUGGAAGCCAUGCUCUCACCCUAGAUCGGCCAUGGAGAACCCAGGAUCCAGAAUUUCUACUGCCUCAGGCUCCGGGUUGACCUUUCUGGGCCCAAGGUCCUGGGAGCAGAGGAGUGUGAGUCAGAGGAAGGCGGACGGCCCGGGAAGCCCAUUGCAACAGGGGAGGG
Long non-coding RNA from Cervus elaphus (red deer), 1417 nucleotides. RefSeq lists it as uncharacterized. NCBI's taxonomy places the organism in Eukaryota, Metazoa, Chordata, Mammalia, Artiodactyla, Cervidae. The transcript has 3 exons. The record is from RefSeq and is a predicted model, not a curated record.